GCUCUUCCUCCUGCUCCUGCCCUGGUAAGAAGUGCUGCUUCCCCUUUGCUUUCUGCCAUGAUUGUACGUUUCCUGAGGCCUUCCCAGCCAUGCUUCCUGUGUGGCCUGUGGAACGGUGAGUCAAUUAAACCUCUUUUCAUUAUAAAUUACCCAGUCUCAGGUAGUUCUUUAUAGCAGUGUGAGAACUGACUCAUUUCAGCUGGUGUAUUAGUUUUCUAUGGCUGCUGUAGCAAAAUACCACAGACAGGGGAGCGUAAACAACAGAAACGUAUUCUUUCAAGGUGUCAGCAGGCCUGGUUUCUUCUGAGGCUUCUCUGCUUGGCUUGCAGAUGGCUGCCUUCUCAAUGUGUCCUCACGUGGUCUUUCCUCUGUGUGCACACAUCCCUGGUAUCUCUCUUUGUGUCCAAAUUUCCUUUUCUUAUAAGGACACCAGUCAGAUUGUGUUAGGGCUAACCCUCAUGGUUUCAUUUUAAAUUAAUUACCUCUUUAAAGGCCCUGUCUCCAAAUACAGUCGCAUUCUGAGGUACUGGGCGUUAGGGCUUCAAUAUAGGAAUUUGGGGGUUGGGGAAGACACAAUUCAGCCCAUAACAACUGGUUAGCCAAGAGGAACUAGUUUUGGAAGGAGCAUAUGACUUUCUUUUCUUCCUUUUCUUCACCCCCACCAUCCAGAGCCUUGAUUGGGCACUUCUAGCUAAUACCUCUGGAAGUUGUAUUAACAAUAAAGUAUCUCUAAGAUAAGGUUUUCCAAAUAGCUUCAUAUUUCCUAGAGUACUUGCUAAAAUGCAGAUUCUUGGGCUACCUGAAAUGCUAUAAAUGGGAAGCUCUUAGGGUUGUAGCCUAGGAGCCUGUAUGUUCCCAAUAAUUACUUCUCCAGGUAAUUCUAAAGAACACUAAACUGGAGUUGCGUCACUAUCAGUUGGAGAUGAUUGACUUGACAAAACUAAUGAUUGGUCACUACUUUUUAAAUAUGCUGACAUGCUUUUUGAAUAAAAGUUGCAGAGAAAGAGCAGGCUG
RNAcentral lists this long non-coding RNA (1014 nucleotides) under Homo sapiens (human). RNAcentral describes it as "HSALNT0374819". Lineage: Eukaryota; Metazoa; Chordata; Mammalia; Primates; Hominidae. The record is from RNAcentral.